AGAAAACAUGGAGUUGUUCCUUUGGCCACAUACAUGAGAAUCUAAAAUAUGUGUGAUAUUGUAGACAUCAAGGGAAUGGGCACUGUUCAAAAAGUAAUGAACCCCACAAGUGUUCCACUGCAAAACUGGAAGAGUGUACAAGUUCACCCAGCAUGCUGUGGAGAUCCUUGUAAACAAGAAAGUUAAGGACAAGAGGAUCAAUGUGCAGACUGAAAGCAUAAAGAACUCAAAGA
Molecule: long non-coding RNA, 233 nt
Filed under: Mus musculus (house mouse)
Lineage: Eukaryota; Metazoa; Chordata; Mammalia; Rodentia; Muridae
Description: long non-coding RNA chr2:56039852-56040085
Source: RNAcentral